This 62-nucleotide transfer RNA is filed under the name Cordylochernes scorpioides. RNAcentral describes it as "tRNA-OTHER". It matches the Rfam family "tRNA". From Rfam's summary of the family: Transfer RNA (tRNA) molecules are approximately 80 nucleotides in length. Their secondary structure includes four short double-helical elements and three loops (D, anti-codon, and T loops). Further hydrogen bonds mediate the characteristic L-shaped molecular structure. tRNAs have two regions of fundamental functional importance: the anti-codon, which is responsible for specific mRNA codon recognition, and the 3' end, to which the tRNAs corresponding amino acid is attached (by aminoacyl-tRNA synthetases). tRNAs cope with the degeneracy of the genetic code in two manners: having more than one tRNA (with a specific anti-codon) for a particular amino acid; and 'wobble' base-pairing, i.e. permitting non-standard base-pairing at the 3rd anti-codon position. The record is from RNAcentral. Lineage: Eukaryota; Metazoa; Arthropoda; Arachnida; Pseudoscorpiones; Chernetidae.
CCAUCGGUGGUUCAGUGGUAGAAUGCACGCGUUCGGCCCGGGUUCGAUUCCCGGCCGAUGCA